Molecule: ribosomal RNA, 987 nt
Filed under: Triticum aestivum (bread wheat)
Lineage: Eukaryota; Viridiplantae; Streptophyta; Magnoliopsida; Poales; Poaceae
Description: partial small subunit ribosomal RNA
Source: RNAcentral
AUGGCUCCCAAGCGCGCCACCCCACGCAAGCGCUCCGCCACCGCAGAUCCCGCCACCAGUUCGGAAGAAGACUCCAGCGGUUCCUCUACCUCCCACAACCAAGAGGUGGCAGACGAGGAAACGGGGGAAUCGGAAUCGGAGGAUGCGGCGGCGGCGGAGGAGUCGGCGGAGGAUGGGGGCGAGGGGGAGGGGGAGUCGACGGAGGAUGAGGACGAGUGGGAGGCGGAGCCUGAUCCGCAGCUCGCGGCCAAGAAUCCACCUCAAUCAAGCAAGUUGCCUGCUCGCAAGAGGGGAAAGACGCCGGCGCCGGCACCAGUACAUCAAAAUGGCGAGAAGAAGAAGCUGCAACAUAGCGAAUCGGCAGAACCCAAACCGAAGAAAAGCAGGCGCAUGUGGUCUCCCGACGACGAGGUCCUGAUUCUGGAGGAGCUUGCCGAGCACCGCCUCCAGCAUGGGAAGGUGCCGGCGUGGGGCGACUACGCCUUCUUUGAGUCUGUUGCCAAGCGCCUUGAGGACAGCAGCUGCCAUUAUUUUGUUGUAAAGGAGAAAGUUCGCACCCUGCUGCGUCGCUACAAAUCUCACAUCUUAUCUGUCACGGACCAUGAUAAGCGCCUUGACAGUCUCUCCGAAGAUGUCUGGGGAGACUUGCAGGUGACCGAUGGCGCUAUUAAUGGCAGCAAACAGGCAGAGGGUGAGGGUGCCAUGGUGAGGGCUGAGAAUGGCAGCAGCGGCCAGACUCAGCCCAGGAGCUUCGAGGAAAUGUGUGAGGUGUAUCCUCUGCUUGCGCAGGAGGUGAAGAUGCUCGCGGAGGUGCAACCUGCCGUCAAAAGCUUGUUCACCAGACUAGAUGCCAAGAGAGCCCUCUACAUGCAGAAGAAGCUGGAGAGAAUUAGGUCCACAGAGGUGAAGAUCCAGGCACGGAUGGCCGCCAAGGUACAUGCACCUAAGGCAAAGAUUAGUGAGAAGCUUGCCCGUCUGCUCACAUAG